Molecule: long non-coding RNA, 2385 nt
Filed under: Cicer arietinum (chickpea)
Lineage: Eukaryota; Viridiplantae; Streptophyta; Magnoliopsida; Fabales; Fabaceae
Description: long non-coding RNA (CARI_LNC002314)
Source: RNAcentral
CGUCUAUAAAACUAUGCAUUAAGAAAUGAGAAAAUGCAAGUUGGAUGCAGUAACAAACAUACCAUAAUCAUAUUACGUGGUGAAUGUUCUGCGAAUCAUACAAAAGCAAAAAAUAAAAUAAAAAUAGACAAAAAUCUGUGGUCUGAUAGAUCAAUCAGUUCCGAACUUUCGUUCCUGAUACGCUCCAAAAAUUGUACUACUGUCAUAGCAAACAUCCAAGAGCAAUGGGAAAAACAAAGAACAAUAAGCUCAUUUAGACUUCCAGCAAGUUCCAAUAAUUUUCUUCACUAUGGUCCAUCAAUUGCAGUGUAUGGAUGUGAUGGAAACAAGCGGUUAAAUUAAUUACAAAUGGAUGCAAUGCAAAGGUAAAGCUGAUAAUUAAGAUUGUAUAAGAAAUGACAACAUGCAAUGUUACUUUUAUGCAAAGACGCUCUGGAAGAAAAGAAACGAUAUGGUGGUGUUUGCUAUUACUACUUGUUAGUGUUAUUCCACUUUGUGUCGGGGAAAUGGGGAUAAAUAGCAAGUUCUCUGUUAUUCUGUUUUAAAGUAACCUUAUGCUUUUUCUCUUCUAAUAACUUUAACUUGUACUGGUUGUUAACAUAAUUUUCAAUGUAAGAGAGUCUCCGACCAAUUAAUGUAAAAUGAAAUCUUCAACUUCAUUCUGAAUCAUGUAACAGAAAUAUCGAUUUAUUUAACAAAAAAAUGUUUAUGUGACAGGGUAAAUAAUCCACACAUAAUUGUUGAUUGGUGAUCUUAUGGCUAGUGGGACCGAACAGUCAAUCCACUUCAAAAAUUUGCCCACACUAGAUUCCAUAAAGGGUCUUAUAGUUUCUUUUCAUUCACUAAUAAGAACAAAUGACAAACCUACAAAAGUACUUAAUUCAGAAUCAUGUGCUAUAGCAAUAUCCAAUAGUAUACAAGAGAUUUUUUAGUGGGAUGCAAGUUCACAAGGUAAGUGGAACAAAUAAUUCAAAUUGUACAUUUUAGAUGCAUAUGGAUGUAUCUAGAAUCAUACUAUAUACUCCAAAUUACUUUGGGGUCACUGAGACCAUAAACCACAUGAUUUAUUUAAUGAGUCAAGAAUUGUCAUGAAUGAGGAAAAAAGAUAUAUAUGUGAAAAAUUAUCAGACAUGCUAUGAAAUCAAUAGUGAUAUUAUUAAUGAAUUCAAUACAGAUAUCACAUGCAGGAGAAGGCCCCAAAGACCUUUUCACCUCCAUAUUUAAAGCCAAUUAAUUAAUUAGGCCACUAUGUAAAGAGAGUUCACCUCUUUUUGGAAAAACCAAUAAAAAAAUUGAAAAGUAUACAAAAACUAUAUACACGUGUUUCCCAUCACACGCGUUGGACACCAGGCAAUGGUGUUCUGUAUAGUUAGGCCAAAGCUCAAGGCCAAAAAUAAACAGCUUUCGCAAACAAACAAAAAAGAAAGUUCACAACAAACACAUGUGAUUGGCACGUAUCGAAUCCAUCUUCACAAAUACCAUCAGAAAAGUCCACGAAAUGUAGCCAACUUAUUUCUGUUCUUUUGUAAUGUUGAGAGGAGCGUGUAUUGGGAAAGUUGAAGUAGUGAUGCUUGGGGCCAAGAAAAGAAACUUCACUAAUAAACAUCUCUUCACAUAUGACAAGUCAUAAACAGCUCAAAACUUCUGAAUAUUAAUCCACCAAGGUUUUAAUUUUGAUACUGUUCUCAUCUAUUUUCUUCCCUGUUUUCUAGAGCACUGUCCCACCAUCUUUCACCUAUAAUCAAUGCAACCUUUGAAUUCCUAUCCCCAACUUCUUUCUUUCUUUCUUUCUUCCACAUUACUACCACUAAUUUUCCCAAACCAAUAAAUAUAUGUUACAAAAUCCCUCUUCCCUGAGGAAUAUGCAAACCCAUUAAUUAAUAAAUGGGGAUACCCCAAACCAAAAACGAAAAAACUCUCUUACAUACAAUACAAUAAUAUAUUCAAUUUUUCAUUUCAAAAACCCACUUAAAAAUGUUUAGGUUUCUAGACAACCUGGCCCACGUUAUUUCCUCUUGUUCCUUUAUUAUUAUUAUUCUUGUUUUGUUACUCUUCACUUGGAGUUUCCUUUGUCAUCAUCUACCCAGACACAGUUAUUAUUUAAUUUCCUCUUUUUAUAAGACAAUGAGAAACAGGGUGAAGAAGAGGAGGAUGGAGAUGAUGAUGAUGACGAGACACUGAACCACUUUCGGGUCCGAGUUGUAACUCUUAGCUGUGGCAACACUUUAGGAGGCUUUCUUUGGUUAUUGCUAAUCACAGUUUCUUGCAUCAACUCAUAGCACCCUAUAAUUUUUUCCUGCAGUAAACAAAUAUGUGUGCUUUGGAUUACAAAUAAACAAACCCAUAAUUUUGUUUUUGUUUUAAUGGUCAUAAUUUAACAUAUAC